Long non-coding RNA from Ruditapes philippinarum (Manila clam), 984 nucleotides. RefSeq lists it as uncharacterized. The record is from RefSeq and is a predicted model, not a curated record. The transcript is spliced from 3 exons. NCBI's taxonomy places the organism in Eukaryota, Metazoa, Mollusca, Bivalvia, Venerida, Veneridae.
GUCUCGUUUACUUUCACUUUCGAUUUACCACUUCCGGGUACAUCGGCAGACUUAUUUACCGUUACGCAUAUAGGUAACCCGAAGAACUCGAGGGAUAUAGAAGUUAAAUUUGUUUCGGUCCUCUUCAGAUUUGAAGGAAUGGAUAGCGCGGGUCAAAAAAUGCAGAUGUAUAGACAAGGAGGUAUAUGACAAGUAUAUAGAAUAUACAGUUGUUCAAUAUGGACCAUUAAUCAACUGAUUGCACUGCCUAUGAUCCUGAAAUAUCUAUACAUCAAAGAUAAAAAGGGAAAAGAUGAAGGAGGAUUUGUCCAUGAAGACCUUUAUUGCAACUACCAUCUUCCAGUUCCUUAAUUUGAGAAUGAUAUCAGAGAACACACAGUUACAGUGAAAUAUUAGUUUAAUAUAAGCCACUGAAAAUAGUCAAAUGUACUUUCCUGAAGAAGAUGAAUGACAUCCAGCACAAAAAUCUUAAUGUAUAAAGAGUAUGAUUUUAUGGUGUUUGACACUAUGAUCUUGUUAACAUGUUAAUGUCACAAUGAUAGAAACAGAGUAAAAUAUCCACAUUUCAUUGCAGUUUUAAGUAUUAAAACUAGAUACUCUAUAUAUAUACCAAAGCUGAUAACACACCAGAGAUAAGGUGUUUUCAUAGAAUCACAGUAGAGUCAUAUGACAUUAUGGACAUUAAAUGACUAUGAAGUAAAGAUUAGCAAAAAUAUUAUAUAUCAUCUACUACUAAUAUUGUGAGGUAAUCAUUGAUAAGUUCACAAAUUUGCAAUCAAAGCUUUGAUAUCAAGCUGAACAUUUUUCAAUUAGAAUAUGAUUUAUAACUCUAUGAUUAUUUGUUCAUGUUAAUUUCAAAGUCUUUACAUUUGUAAAAGGAAAUACUCUUAUUCUUGUAUCAGUAGACACUCACAGUGAAAAGUUACAUUGUCCAAAUAACUAAUAAUAAUUCCAAGUGCUUUCCUGAAGUUUUUCUUCCACUGG